UGUUAUAUUUUAUUUAUAUAUUAUAUAGUAUUAUAUACUAAAAAUUGUUUACUGCACAGAACAUUUUAUAAGGGCUGGGGGGGGGGGUCGAAGAAUAAAUAUGCCAUGGUAGCCAGAGAGUGCGCACAGGUUUAUUCUUCUUAGUCUGUGAAGAAUGACUGAAAUAGAAACACUGAUCAGCAAUGGCCACUAAAAUCAGAAACAUGAGAGAGAACCAGACACUGUGUGUCCCUGAAGGGGGGCCACCACACUAGCUAUACAGCAAUGUCGCCCCAAAUCCCUAAAACCACCAAGCCCAAACAAACACAAAACUAACCUCUGGAUCCAGUUGCCAGUCUGUAGGAAGUGUAAACAACCGAAGAAUGCAUAAAGUGGGAAAUACAAUCUGCAAAAUCUUGCAGUGGGAAGUGCUUUAGGACAAACAACCCGAUCCCUUCCAUAGAUAAGCCACAAGGGAGGAAAAACUUAAGACACUUAAAAGGCAUAUUCAUCAAUUCCAAUUUGUGAACCUUAUUUGGAUCCUGAUUUACACAAAUAAACAAAAACUACUAAAAAAAAACUAUGACAUUUAUGAAUCCACUGAAAAUGUAUCUACCAACUGGUAUGUUAAGAAGGAGUCCAGCUGGAGGCAGCGGCACACACCUGUAGUCCCGUCUACUCAGCCGGGUGAGACAGGAGGAUCACCUGAGGUCAGGGCUGUGGUGUGCUAAGAUUAUGCCUGUGAAUAGCCACUGCAUUCAAACCUGGGCAACAUAGCAAGACUCCCUUCUCUAAAACAUAAAAAUACUUUUUAAAAAAUAGUCCAUAUCUUUUAAAGCUACAUACUAAAAUAUGGACAGACGAAAUAAUGUUACCUGGGAUUUCUUUCAAAACAGGGCAGGACUUAUGGGGUGAAGUGGAUAGGAUACACAGAACGGGGUAGCCAUGAGCGGGCAAUUGUUGAAGCUCAUGUUACAGUACUCUGUCUUCCUUCUGUAUAUAUUUAUACUCUUCCACCAAAAAAGGCCGAAUGCAGACUUCACAUCCCGGUGUAAGAAGUUCCUGUACACACAAACACAGCCCAUACUCCAGCUAUCCCGAGGCGUCUAUGCUGUUCCCUUCCCAAACUAAGCCAUGCACCCUCCAGCCUACCUGACUUUGCAUGGGUACUAUUUUCCAUCCAGAGGAUAUCCUCUCAUCUCUGUCUGUCCACCCUCUCCCCCAACUCCAGCUACAGAAGUCCUACUGGUCUCUCAAGGCCCAGCUUAAGUCGUACCUGCUUGGCAAGGUUUCCCCACAUUCCCUUCCCUGUUUAUCUAUGAACUGCCUCUGUGCUAUUACUUUUAGUGGAAAAAAAACACAAUUACAUUUACACCAACCUAAUAAAGCUGACUGUCCAGCUAUAAAAUAUAGCUAGCUAUCCAAAUAUAUUUUCAGCUACGAGAGGGCAAAAACCACAUAUGAUCUCUUUAUUCCCAAGUAUCCCUUGCCUGUUGUACGUAAUUAAGUACUACUGCAUAAAAUAGAUCUGAUUUAUGUCAUUACCUAAAAUAACUCCUCAAAAACUUUUAAUUGAAAACCUUUAAAAAUAUGUAUUUUGUUUAUUGAAAUGGGUAAUGUGUUGUUUUAAAGUAUUAAAAAGGCAGUGAGAAGCCCCCUCACACCCUAUCUGCCCAGCUCACUUCCCUCCCAACAUGUAAUCACUCAUUAGUUUUUCGUUUACCUUUCCAGAGAUUUUUAAAUGCACAUUCAAGUCAAUAUAAAUAUAUUCUUCCUUCCUCCUCUACACAAAUGGGUAGCAUAACAUAUGUACUGCUAAAUACCAUGCGUUUCUUUUUUUACCUAAUAAAUGCCUUGAAAAUUUUUCUAUAAGAACGUACAUGUAAAGAAGUUCCUUGUUUUUAUUAUUUUUUUUACAGCUGCACUUUCUCACUACAUGGGACGUUGCAUUGUUUUUAAUCAGAACCCUCUUGAUUGAUGGUUCGGCUGUUUCUCAUCCUUUACUAUUAAAAGCAGUGGCACAAUGAGUGAAACUGCCAAUAGGUCAUUUCUUUUUUUUUGAGACGGAGUUUCGCUCUUGUUACCCAGGCUGGAGUGCAAUGGCGUGAUCUCGGCUCACCGCAACCUCCGCCUCCUGGGUUCAGGCAAUUCUCCUGCCUCAGCCUCCUGAGUAGCUGGGAUUACAGGCACACGCCACCAUGCCCAGCUAAUUUUUGUAUUUUUAGUAGAGACGGGGUUUCACCAUGUUGACCAGGAUGGUCUCGAUCUCUUGACCUCGUGAUCCACCCGCCUCGGCCUCCCAAAGUGCUGGGAUUACAGGCUUGAGCCACCGCGCCCGGCCUGCCAAUAGGUCAUUUCACGUGUGUUUCAAUACACCUGUGGUGCAGCUCCUUAUUUUCAUAUUGUGUAUUUGUGCUGUUUUUCUUGACCACGUUAGCCUUUGAUUUUCUGUAUCAAUUCUCUCUAUGCUGCUUUCUAACUCAUUAAAUGCAAUUUUUACCAACAUUAAUUCCUUUCUUCUGCUUUCCCUUCAGUUUAAUUUACUGUUCUUUUUCUACCUUCUUAAAUUAGUCCAUGAUGUACAGCAUGAAUCCCAACAGUCUGUAUCCUAAUUCAGAAGGAGUCCUGAGCGGGUCCUGGUCCCUCGAUGCCGCUACUUCACGAGGACACAUAAACAAAGGACAGAGGUUAUAGGCAAUAAUGAUGAAGAAACCAGCCAGAGGAAGCCAGACCUCUUGAAUCCUGUCUUCUUCACCGAAACACAAAUCCUCCCUUCUUCCCAAAGCCCUGAACUGUGCGUCUUGGAGUCACAGAACCACCUGGUAUCUGAAUGUCUUCAAUUUAGCACUCUACUGUGCAGAAGAGACUGCACCCCAAUCUUGGUACGCCUAACUUAUUCCAGGUGUGUCAAACAUUCCUUAGGGAUUAUGAGUUCACGCCUUUACAUGCUCCAGCUCUGGAAAAACAUAAAGCUGAAUUUCUACCUCAUUCUUUUGCAUGAACAUUCAAGAUGGGAAAAAAAAUGUAAAAGUAAAAAACAAAAUUGCAAAUGUUCUAAGGAAAAAGCAGAGAUGAAUAUUCUUGUAGUAAUAAAGUGAAGAAGGCUUUUCUAAGCAUGGCAUAAAACUCUGAGCCUGAGAAAUAAAGAAUUUAGUAAUUUUUCAAAGUUUACACUUAUAAGCAAAAUUGUAAGACAAAAAGCGAGCUGGGAAAACCUAACUGCUGCAUAUACUACAAAGGGUUAAUAUCCUUCAACCACAGGGAUUGCUCCCAUUGCACGGCACAGGGCAUGAUACUGUCCACUGCCUCAAAGGAUGGCUUUAUUCAGUGGGUCCUUCAAGCUGGUGGGGCCCGAGGUUCCAGCUGGGUCUGGUGCAUGCCUGGUUGCCUCUCCAUCAUCAGCCUGCUCACCAUACUAGGGCUAGAUAACCCGCAGGUCAAUUUCACCCAAUAGCCAACGACGUGAGGAGUUUUCUAGAUAUGAGAAGUUUCAAGGGUUAUUAAAAGUAAAAUAUUUUGAACAUCUCACCACAGCCAGUUAUUUAAAGAACUAAAACUUGUUAUAACCACGUCUAAGCAAAGAAAUAUUUCCAUUUAUUUUGACCCUGUAUCCUUGAGAGUGAAAGUCCUGUGAGAAACAUAGAGAAAGGAAAACAUAAACUCAGAAGCUCAGUGACAAUGUCCGACAUUUGUAUACCAGGGUGUGCCACAUCGUUAUGUCAAGGCAAGAUUUCUUCCCUCUGGUUCUACUGAGAUUGUCAGUUUCCCUUCCUGCCUGUACACAGAGGGCCACAGCCAAAGGGCCAGUCAAAUGCUGGUGAGUGGUGCCAUCUGGUGUUCAGUUAGAGAUCUGCACACAAAUGCAGCUGCACUGCAAGGGAUGAAACAGGGGCAUCUUUGCCUCAGUUUAUACCUCCCUUCCAUUACUCUGUUGCUCCUGGUUACGUUAAGCCAAAAAGUAUUAAUUAAAGGAUGUAAAAUACUUAAUUCUUAAGAAGAAAACCUAGACUGUGUGAGGGAAAGGCUGUGCUCCCACAGGUCACUCUCCAAGGGUUCUGGCCAAGCAUCCUUAGUGCUCACUAAGGAAGCCGUCAUCCAUAUACAGACUUAUCUACUUCUGUUUAAAUGCCCAGUCCAUACCACCUAUCAGCGUACCUGGUUUUCUGCUGUUAUUGUUUUUUAAUUUGUUGUGUGUUGAGAACUGCCUUUUACUUUUAUUUGUCCUAAGACAAUCUUUUUUUUUUUUUUUUUUUGAGACUGACUCCUGCUUUCUCAUCCAGGUUGGAGUGAAGUGAUGUGAUUUUGGCUCACUGAAACCUCCGCUUCCCAGGCUCGAAGUGAUUCUCCUAACUCCUGAGUAGCUGGGAUCACAGGCAACUGCUACCACACCCAGCUAUUUUUUGUAUUUUUAGUAGAGACAGGGUUUCACCAUGUUGGCCAGGCUGGUCUUGAACUCCUGACCUCAAGUGAUCUGCCUGCCUUGUCCUCCCAAAGUGCUGGGAUUACAGGUGUGAGCCACAGAGCCUGACCCUAAGACAACCUUUUUAAAGCUCCAGUAAACACCUCCUGGUAAUAGUGUUCUGGAUUUAGGCUAAGAGAAAUACACUUAAUAUACUUUUUUGCUCUAUUUUAAAAUAAUGAUCCCCUCUCAGUCUCAUCUAUCUAGUACAAAGAAUGUUAACAGCAAGUUCUCAAAAUGCUGACUUCAGUCAGACUUUUCUUCAGAGCUGCACACGCAUUUUUCUAGCUGGUUUCACAUGAAAACAGGGUACAAUUUGGCCAGGUGUGGUGGCUCACACCUAUAAUCCCAGUACUUUGGGAGGCUGAGGGAGGCAGACCACUUGAGGCUAGGAGUUCAAGACCAGCCUGGCCAACAUGGCAAAACCCAGUCUCUACUAAAAAUACAAAAAUUAGCUGGGCAUCAUGAAACACACCUGUAAUCCCAGCUGCUCGGGAGACUGAGACAUGAGAAUCACCAGAACCUGGGAGGCAGAGGUCACAGUGAGCCGAGAUUGUGCCAAUGCACUCCAUCUUGGGUGACACAGCAAGACUCUGUCUCAAAAAAAAAAAAAACAAGAUAUGAUUAGUCCAAAGCUGUAUGUGAUGGCCACACAUCCCAAUACUCUACCAACAUUACCUUUCUUCCUCGUCCUGCUUAAUGUAAACACAUUACCCAGAAGCUCCACCUUAGUGGAGGCAGAUCCAAGAUGACUGACUAGGAGCAGCUCUGAAGUGCAGUUCCCAGCGAGAACAAUGCAGAGGGAGAUGAUCACCGCAUUUCCAAACAACUUAUUACUGCCCACAGACCAGGAGACUCCCGGGCUGAAAAGAGCCACGAGUUUCCAGCACAGCUGUUUCAGCCGACGCAGCAGGUCUCCACACAAAAACUCACACAAAUCUGGGUGGCUGUUCCAACUGGUGCCUGGAAUGCCUGGGAGACAGAGCCACCCCUUCAACUGAAAAAAAGGGGGCUGAAACACAGAGCCAGGUGAUCUGGCAAAGCAGGUCCCACCCCCACAAGACUAGCAGUCUGAAACACUCUGGAUUGAGAGUUUCACAGCUAGCACAGCUGGACCUGGGACAGUCCAGCUCUGGUGGGGGAAGGGCGUCUGCCAUUACUGAGGCAGAUCACCAUUACCGAGGAAGUCCACUAUUACUGAGGCAGUGUGCCAUUACCAAGGUAAUUCGCCAUUACAGAGGCAGUCCACCAUUACCAAGGCAGUUCUAACUAUACCUCUAUAAACAAAACCACAAGGAAGUUCACCCAGCAGCUAGGUAGAGCCCACAGCAGCUCAGCAAUGCCUCUGCUGGCAGACUGUGACUGGGCUACCUCCUUGCUGGGCAGAGCAGCUCUGAAAAAAGGAAGCAGCACGUCAGGAACUUAUAAAGCCCCACCUUCCCAGAACAGAGCACCUGGGAAACAAAGGCGGUUAUGAGUUUCACUGCAGCAAACUUAAAUUUACCUGCCCAGCAACUCUAAACAGAACAACAGAGCUCACAGCUCAGCACUUGAGCUCCUAUAAGGGACAGACCGUCUCCUCAGGCAGCUCCCUGACCCCUGUAUAUCCAAAGAGACACCUCAUAAAGAAGAGUUCAGGCUGCAAUCUGGCAGGUAUCCUUCUGGGACAAAGAUAACAGAAGAAGAAACUGGCAACAACCCUUACUGUUCUGCAGCUGCUGCAGGUGAUCCCCAGGCAAGCAGGGUCUGGAGUGGACCUCAGCAGUCCUACAGCAGAGAUGCCUGACUAUUAGAAGGAAACUAAGAAAGAGAAAGAAAUAACUUCACGCCAACAAAAAGGACAUCUACUCAGAGACCCCAUCUGAAAGUCACCAACUACAAAGAACACAGGUAGAUAAAUCCACAAAGAUAGGAAGAAACCACUUAAAAAGGAUGAAACACCCAAAACCAGAACAAAUCUCCUUCUCCAAGGGAUCACAACUCCUCACCAGCAAGGGAACAAAGCUGGAUGGAGAAUGAGUCUGAUGAACAGACAGAAACAGGAUUCAGAAGGGGUAAUAACAAACUUCUCUGAGCUAAAAGAACAUGUUCCAACCCAAUGCAAAGAAACUAAGAACCUUGAAAAAAUGUUUGACAAAAUGCUAACAAGAAUAAACAAUUUAGAGAGGAAUGUAAGUGAAUUGAUGGAGCUGAAAAACACAAUACGAGAACUUUGUGAAGGAUACACAAGUUUCAACAGCCAAACUGACCAAGCAGAAGAAAGGAUAUCACAGACUGAAGAUCAACUCAAUGAAAUAAAAGAAGGCAAGAUUAGAGAAAAAAAAGAGUGAAAAGAAAUGAACAAAGCCUCCAAGAAAUAUGGGAUUAUGUGAAAAGAACUAAUCUAUGUUUGAUAGGUGUAGCUGAAUGUGACGGAGAGAAUGAAUCCAGGCUGGAAAACACUCUUCAGGAUAUAAUCCAGGAGAACUUCCCCAACCUAGCAAGCCAGGCCAAUAUUCAAGUCCAGGAAAUACAGAGAACACCACAAAGAUAUUCCUCAAGAAGAGCAACCCAAGACACAUAAUCGUCAAAUUCACCAGGGUUGAAAUGAAGAAAAAAAUGCUAAGGGCAACCAGAGAGACAGGUCGGGUUACCCACAAAGGGAAGCCCAUCAGACUCACAGCAGAUCUCUCAGCAGAAACCCUACAAGCCAGAGGAGAGUGGGGACCAAUAUUCAACAUCCUUAAAGAAGGGAACCUUCAACCUAGAAUUUCAUAUCCAACCAAACUAAGCUUCAUAAGCGAAGGAAAAAUAAAAUCCUUUAAGAACAGGAAAGUGCUGAGAGAUUGUGUCACCACCAGGCCUGCCUUACAAGAGCUCCUGAAAGAAGCACUAAACACAGAAAGGAACAACCAGUAUCAGCCACUGUAAAAACGUACCAAUUGGUAAAGAGGAUCGACUCAAUGAAGAAACUGCAUCAACUAACGGGCAAAACAGCCAGCUAGCAUCAAAAUGGCAGGAUCAAAUUCACACAUAACAAUAUUAACCCUAAAUGUAAAUGGGCUAAACACCCCAUUCAAAAGACACAGACUGCCAAAUGGAUAAAAAGUCAAAAUCCAUUGCUGUGCUAUAUCCAGCAAACCCAUCUCACAUGCAAGGACACACAUAGGGUGUGUCCCUUGUGUGUCCUUGAAUAUUAGCCUGGCUUGCUAGGUUGGGGAAGUUCUCCUGGAUUAUAUCCUGAAGAGUGUUUUCCAGCCUGGAUUCAUUCUCUCUGUGACAUUUAGGUACAUCUAUCAAAUAAAGGGAUGGAGGAAGAUUUACCAAACAAAUGGAGAGCAAACAAAAAAGCCAGAGUUAGAAUCCUAGUCUCUGAUAAAAUAGACUUUAAACCAACAAAGAUCAAAAGAGACAAAGAAGGACAUUACAUAAUAGUAAAAGGAUCAAUGCAACAAGAAGAGCUAACGAUCCGAAAUAUAUACGCACCCAAUACAGGAGCACCCAGAUAUAUAAAGCAAGUUCUUAACAACCUACCAAAGAGACUUAGACUCCCAAACCAUAACAGUGGGAGACUUUAACACUCCACUGUCCAUAUUAGACAGAACAAUGAGACAGAAAAUUAACAAGGAUAUCCAGGACUUGAACUCAGACCUGGACCAAGCUAACCUAACAGAUAUUUAGAGAACUCUCCACCCCAAAUCCAUAGAAUAUACAUUCUUCUCAGCACCACAUCACGCCAACUCUAAAACUGACCACAUAAUUGGAAGUAAAUCACUCCUCUACAAAUGCUAAAGAAUAGAAAUCAUAACAAACAGUCUCUCAGACCACAGUGCAAUAAAGUUAGAACUCAGAAUUCAGAAACUAACUCUGAACCGCACAACUUUAUGGAAACUGAACAGCUGGCUCUUGAAUGUUGACUGGAUAAACAAUGAAAUGAAGGCAGAAAUAAAGAUGUUCUUCGAAACCAACAAGAACAAAGACACAACGUACCAGAAUCUCUGGGACACAUUCAAAGCAGUGUCUAGAGGAAAAUUUAUAGCAAUAAAUGCCCACACGAGAAGCAAGGAAAGAUCUAAAAUCGACACCCUAUCAUCAAAAUUGAAAGAGCUAGAGGAGCAAGAUCAAAAACACUCAAAAGCUAGUAGAAAACAAGAAAUAACUAAGAUCAGAGCAGAACUGAAGGAUAUAGAGACAUAAAAAACCCUUCAAAAAAAUCAGUAAAUCGAGGAGCUGAUUUUUUGAAAAGAUCAACAAAAUAGAGAGACCGCUAGAUGGAUUAAUAAAAAAGAAAAGAGAGAAGAAUCAAAUAGAUGCAAUAAAAAACGAUAAAGGGGACAUCACCACUGAUUCCACAGAAAUACAAACUACCAUCAGAGAUUACUACAAACAACUCGAUGCACAUAAAUCAGUAAACCUGGAAGAAAUGGAUAAAUUCCUGGACACUUGCACCCUCCCAAGCCUAAACCAGGAAGAAGCUGAAACCCUGAAUAGACCAAUAAUAAGGGCUGAAGUUGAGGCAGCAAUUAAUAGCCUACCAACUUAAAAAAGCCCAGGUCCAGAUGGAUUCACAGCUGUAUUCUACCAGACAUACAAAGAGGAGCUGGUACCACUCCUUCUGAAACUAUUCCAAACAAUCUAAAAAGAGGGAAUCCUUCCCAAAUCAUUUUAUGACACCAACAUCAUCCUGAUACCAAAACCCAGCAGAGACUCAACAAAAAAAGAAAACUUCAGGCCAAUAUCCAUGAUGAACAUAGAUGCAAAAAUCUUCAGUAAAACACUGGCAAGCCGAUUGCAACAGCACAUCAAAAAGCUUAUCCAUCACAAUCAGGCAGGUUUCAUCCCGGGGAUGCAAGGCUGGUUCAACAUAUGCAAGUCUGUAAACAUAAUUCACCACAUAAACAGAACCAAAAACAAAAACCACGAUUAUCUCAAUAGGUGCAGAGAAGGCCUUCGACAAAAUUCAACAGCCCUUUAUGCUGAAAGCUCUCGAUAAACUAGGUAUUGAUGGAACAUAUCUCAAAAUAGUAAAAGCUAUUUACGACAAACCCAUAGCCAAUAUUAUACUGAAUGGGCAAAAACUGGAAGCAUUCCCUUUGAAAUCUGGCACUAAACAAGGAUGCCCUCUCUCACCACUCCUAUUCAAUAUAGUAUUGGAAGUUCUAGCUGCUGCAAUUAGGCAGGAAAAAGAAAUAAAGGUUAUUCAAUUAGGAAAGGAGCGAGUCUAGUUGUCUCUAUUUGCAGACAACAUGAUUGUAUAUCUAGAAGACCCCAUCGUCUCAGCCCAAAAUCUCCUGAAACUGAUAAGCAACUUCAGCAAAGUCUCAGGAUACAAAAUCAAUGUGCAGAAAUCACAAGCAUUCCUAUACACCAGUAACAGACUUAAAGAGCGCCAAAUCAAGAACGAGCUGCCAUUCACAAUUGCUACAAAGAGAAUAAAAUACCUAGGAAUACAAAUAACAAGGAAUGUAAAGGACCUCUUCAAGGAGAACUACAAACCACUGCUUAAGAAAAGAAGAGAGGACACAAACAGAUAGAAAGACAUUCUAUGCUCAUGGUUAGGAAGAAUCAAUAUCAUGAAAAUGACCAUACUACCCAAAGUAAUUUACAGAUUCAAGGCUACCCCCAUCAAGCUACCUAUGACCCUCUUCACAGAACUGGAAAAAAACCACCUUAAUCUUUAUAGGGAACCAAGAGAGGUAGUGGAGGAAACACUACACAUUUACAACCAUCUGAUCUCUGACAAACCUGACAAAAACAAGCAAUUGGGAAAGGAUUCCCUGUUUAAUAAAUGGUGUUGGGAAAACUGGCUAGCCAUGUGCAGAAAACAGAAACUGGACCCCCUUCCUGACACUACGCUAAAAUCUAACUCCAGAUAGAUUAAAGACUUAAACAUAAGACCUAACAUCCUAAAAACCCUACAAGAAAAUCUAGGCAAAACCAUUCAGGACAUGGGCAUAGCCGGCUCUUCAUGACUAAAACACCAAAAGCAUUGGCAACAAAAGCCAAAAUAGACAAAUGGGAUCUAAUUAAACUCCAGAGCUUCUGCACAGCAAAAGAAACCGUCAUUAGAGUGAACCAGCAACCAAGAGAAUGGGAAAAAAUUUUGCAAUCAACCCAUCUUUCAAAGGGCUAAUAUCCAGAAUCUACAAAGAACUAAAACAGAUUUACAAGAAAAAAACAAACAAACUCAUUCAAAAGUGACAAAGGAUAUGAACAGACACUUUACAAAAGAAGACAUUUAUGAGGCCAACAAACAUAUGAAAAAAUGCUCAUCAUCACUGGUCAUUAGAGAAAUGCAAAUGAAAACCACACUGAGAUACCAUCUCACGCCAGUUAGAAUGGCGAUCAUUAAAAAAUCUGGAGACAACAGAUGCUGGAGAGGAUGUGGAGACACAGGAAUACUUUUAAACUGCUGGUGGGAGUGUAAAUUAGUUCAACCAUUGUGGAAAACAGUGUGGCGAUUCCCCAAGGACCUAGAAGUAGAAAUUCCCUUUGACCCAGCAAUCCCAUUACUGGGCAUAUAUCCAAAGGAUUAUAAAUCGCUCUAUAAAGAUACGUGUACAUGUAUGUUCACUGUGGCACUAUUUACAAUAGCAAAGAACUGGAACCAACCCAAAUGCCCAUUGAUGAUAGACUGGACAAGGAAAAUGUGGCAUAUAUACACCAUGGAAUAUUAUGCAGCCAUAAAAAACAAUGAGCUUGUGUCCUUUGUAGGGACAUGGAUGAAUCUGGAAACCAUCGUUCUCAGCAAACUGGCACAAGAACAGAAAAUCAAACACCACAUGUUCUCACUCACAGGGAGGUGUUGAAUAAUGAGAACACAUGGACACAGGGAAGGGAGCAUCACAC
Molecule: long non-coding RNA, 11266 nt
Organism: Callithrix jacchus (white-tufted-ear marmoset)
Lineage: Eukaryota; Metazoa; Chordata; Mammalia; Primates; Cebidae
Source: RefSeq, a predicted model, not a curated record